CUUUGCAUUGGACUUUGACGGGACUUGUGUAGGAUAGGUGGGAGGACUUUGAAACCGGGACGCCAGUUACCGGUGGAGCCAACCUUGAAAUACCACCCUGGUGUCGUCGAGGUUCUAACCCAGGCCUGUGAAUCCAGGUCGGGGACCGUGCAUGGUGGGCAGUUUGACUGGGGCGGUCUCCGUCCCAAAAGGUAACGGAGGAGUACGAAGGUCACCUAGGUACGGUCGGACAUCGUACUGAUAGUGCAAUGGCAAAAGGUGGCUUGACUGCGAGACCCACAAGUCGAGCAGGUGCGAAAGCAGGUCAUAGUGAUCCGGUGGUUCUGUAUGGAAGGGCCAUCGCUCAACGGAUAAAAGGUACUCUGGGGAUAACAGGCUGAUUCCGCCCAAGAGUUCACAUCGACGGCGGAGUUUGGCACCUCGAUGUCGGCUCAUCACAUCCUGGGGCUGUAGCCGGUCCCAAGGGUAUGGCUGUUCGCCAUUUAAAGUGGUACGUGAGCUGGGUUUAAAACGUCGUGAGACAGUUUGGUCCCUAUCUGCCGUGGGC
Molecule: ribosomal RNA, 547 nt
Filed under: uncultured bacterium
Lineage: Bacteria
Description: bacterial LSU rRNA
Rfam family: Bacterial large subunit ribosomal RNA
Source: RNAcentral